UACGAAGGGUGCAAGCGUUGUUCGGAAUUACUGGGCGUAAAGCGCGCGUAGGCGGGUUGGAAAGUCGAUUGUGAAAGCCCUGGGCUUAACCUGGGAAUGGCAGUCGAAACUCCCAAUCUUGAGUGCCUGAGAGGAUGGCGGAAUUCCCGGUGUAGUAGUGAAAUACGUAGAUAUCGGGAAGAACACCUGAGGCGAAGGCGGCUAUCUGGCGGUGCACUGACGCUGAGGCGCGAAAGCGUGGGGAGCAAACAGGAUUAGAAACCCCCGUAGUCC
RNAcentral lists this ribosomal RNA (273 nucleotides) under uncultured bacterium. RNAcentral's name for it is "partial 16S ribosomal RNA". It matches the Rfam family "Bacterial small subunit ribosomal RNA", at positions 524 to 796 of the family's 1533-position model. The record is from RNAcentral.